UUACACAUGCAAGUCGAACGGCAGCGCGGGAGCAAUCCUGGCGGCGAGUGGCGAACGGGUGAGUAAUAUAUCGGAACGUGCCCAUUAGUGGGGGAUAGCCCGGCGAAAGCCGGAUUAAUACCGCAUACGACCUGAGGGUGAAAGCGGGGGAUCGCAAGACCUCGCGCUAUUGGAGCGGCCGAUAUCAGAUUAGCUAGUUGGUGGGGUAAAGGCCUACCAAGGCAACGAUCUGUAGUUGGUCUGAGAGGACGACCAGCCACACUGGGACUGAGACACGGCCCAGACUCUUACGGGAGGCAGCAGUGGGGAAUUAGGACAAUGGGUGUUCCGCCCGCCGCGCCCCGC
This 345-nucleotide ribosomal RNA is filed under the name uncultured Methylibium sp. Its description in RNAcentral is "bacterial SSU rRNA". It matches the Rfam family "Bacterial small subunit ribosomal RNA", at positions 49 to 400 of the family's 1533-position model. The record is from RNAcentral. Lineage: Bacteria; Pseudomonadati; Pseudomonadota; Betaproteobacteria; Burkholderiales; Sphaerotilaceae.